Molecule: small nuclear RNA, 106 nt
Filed under: Octopus bimaculoides (California two-spot octopus)
Lineage: Eukaryota; Metazoa; Mollusca; Cephalopoda; Octopoda; Octopodidae
Source: RNAcentral
GUGUUGCUUCGGCAAUACAUCUGCUAAAAUUGGAGCGGUACGGAGGAGAUUAGCAAAGUCCCUGCGCAAGGAUGACAAGCAAAAUCGUGAAACGUUCCAUAUAUAA